This is a long non-coding RNA of Lagenorhynchus albirostris (white-beaked dolphin), 3471 nucleotides long. RefSeq lists it as uncharacterized. The record is from RefSeq and is a predicted model, not a curated record. The transcript has 6 exons. NCBI's taxonomy places the organism in Eukaryota, Metazoa, Chordata, Mammalia, Artiodactyla, Delphinidae.
ACGCCCGCCCACUUCCGGGAUCUCGAAGAAGUUGAGCUUCGGGGUUGCGGUGGUGGGGCGAGCUGCCCGCGCUCCCGGGACCGAGGCGGGCCUGCAGACCGCCCGCCGCCCCCCAGGACCCGGCUGGUCGCCCCCUAAGACCGCCCGCCACCCCCAGGUCCACCUGCCGGAGCAGGCGGUGUGUUCUCUGGGCCACAGGCGAGGAGAGGGGCCAGUUAUGGUCACGCCUCUUUCUCCCCAAGUGGUAAAGCUCAUCUAUUAAAGGAAGCUUUAGGAAUGCGAGUUUCGGGAUUGUUUGACAAGCUACUUCACUGCCUGGUGUAGUUCUUUGGGCAUCAUGAAGCAAACAGCCAGGCUGUGAACAGCCUCCGGGGACCGGGGGCAGCCUCUAGAUCCCAGGGCAGCCAACAAGAAGCCAGGACCCUCAGUCAUCAGCUGCGAGGAAAUGAAUCCUGUAAACACCGUGCAUGGGCCUGGCAGCGGAUUCUCCUCACUGAGACCUCCAGGGGCCCCAGGCAGCAACCGGUGCUCAGAGGCAGUAACCACACUUGGCUGAUGGCCGCUCACUUGGUGCCGCGUGCCGUGUCCUGGACCUCUCACAAAGGUCGGCAGGCUAAGGAGACGGAGUAGCGGACCCCAGACGGCCCGGCCUCCUGGCUCUCAGGCAUGGUGUGAGGGGCGCCUGGAGAGAUGGGAGGCCUGCAGGUGACAGAGGCCAGGACCCGCAGCCCUGAGAUGGAAAAGCAGGCUGUGUCACCUUUAAAAGAAAGACCACACGAUUACACCUCCAACAGGCUACAGGUAGGAAGACAGGAAGAGACCUGUUUUCACUAAAGGCCACUCCUCCUAAAUGAAAGGGAUAAGGGUUAUGUAGUGGGUAGCGCCAAAGACCAAAACUUACGCUACAGCACCCAGCUCUGCUUGCUGUAAGGAUGUGAACUGCAGGUAACAGCUCGGUUUGCCAACGGGUUCCUUGGGCAAGGCGGUUCGUGGUAAGCAUCUGGGAACCCUCCCACACAGCACACCUGUUACCGCUUUCCACCUGCAGCAGCUGAAAGUACGGGCAGCCCAGGGAGCACAGGACAUGCCCUGAACAGAGUGCACGCCUCCGGGGUCCUCCCACCAGCUCCCCGCACAGACCCCGGGUACCCGCUCCUCCUGGCGGAGGUGCAUGACACCACUCCCCUUUCCUUGGGUCUUUGUCAAAACUGCAGAAGGCACUUGUCCACAGAAAGUAAAGGGAGGAACCCGUGAAAGCAGACGAAUGAACAGUGGCCCCAUCUGAGGGGGGCCUGGCUCCUGGAAUUUCAGGGGUUAUUCGUGUCAACAUUCCCCACCCCUCCAGUCCCUGCUGACACUUUCUAGGGACACAGGAAAAACCCUGACGCUGGGCUUUUGUCUUUGGUGCCGGUCACAUUUUGUCACCUGAGUGGCUCUCCCGCCCCUACAGACCAUAAGUCAUGGUUUUCAUCAAGGAUCCCCUGGGCAGUGCUCUUAAACGGGCUUCUCACCGAACCCUCCGAGCUCCCAGAGGUGAAAUCUGGUUGGUGGCACCUCGAGCCUCUUCCUAGUGGCGGGACUCCAGGCUCAGAACCUGAGAAUCUUGGAUUGUGAGCCAGCAUUCUGUCCCCCCAGAGACCCGGCCCUUCCCGCGAUGGCCCCACCCCCGUGGCCUUCUCCAUCACCCAUUCAUGACGGCCCCUGCCCACCUUCUGCUGGCGCGUGAGUGGACUCUUCCUGGCUCCCGCCCUCAGGCUCCCGCCCACCGGCCAGGGGCAUCUCACUGAAGCCAGCCAUGUCCACCGUGCAGGGAGCAGGAAAACUCAGGUAUGUGGCAGAAUAGACUAAUGACCGAGAGAGCAGGAGACCAAGACUCUCCCAGGCCCCGCAGGGCCCCUUAAAAAUGACUGACGAUGAGGGGAGGCGGAUGGGUGACCCACAGAGGUCCUGCCCUGACCUAAGGAAGUGACCUCUCCCCUCAGCUUGGGAGUGGUCAUUUGCUUGGCCCCAACCAAAGAAGAUGCCUGCUGUCACCAACUUCAGUGCUCUGGUAAAUGGGAACGAGUCCACUUGGCGGCAGAUUUCAAAGGGAAGUACUUGCUGUAAAGCUGAGUAACUUUCACUGAUGCCCGGCAGGGGGUAGAAAAUUUGAGCGGACCAUCAUUUCCCCUGAAUGAUACUCUGUAAUCACAAAAUAUUGAGUGAGUCCCAAAGAGCCGUCAUCGUCUUAACGAGUGUCUCUCCUACUACCUGGGCACUCUUGAUUUUAUAAAACCAGGAAUGGCCUUCUGGAAUGGUCCAGACCUAUUUCUAGCCUGAAGCGGGGGUGGGGGUGGGGUGGGGGACACACCUCACAGUCUCUGGGCUGGAGCUCAGUCUGGAGGCAGAAGGACCUAGGUUUGAACCCUCACCUGGGCAAGUGACCCUGAGUUCCUCCAUUAGACAUUCAUUGAGCACCUACUACGUUCCAGGCACUGGGGAUGCAGAGAUAAGUUACAAGGGGUUCAGUGGACCCAGCUCAGUGGGGAGGUGGCCUCUUUCCUCCAAGUUGGGGGUGAUACCUGAGUAUCACGGCCUUGAUACGAAGUAUGAGUCCCUACAGCAUCCAAUGCAUAGCAGGAGCGGGAUACACGUUGGUUUCUCUCUUGAAGUUCCAUUUAGAAUUGGCGAUUCUGUCAUUCUGGAAGGUGAUGGGGUAAAACUGCCCCCCACAGAAGAGACGUUGUUGUAUUUCUGAAAGGAUGGUGGGUAUCUUCGUGUAAGGAAGCCUGGCUCCCAGAGGUGAAGUGACUUGUCCAAGUCACACAGGGAGUUUGUAGAACCGUCAGGAUGGGGACCACAUGCCGCCUCAGCAUCCAAAUGUGGCUGCAGUUUUCUUGGACCCCCCCCCGCCCUCAGUCAAGAAGUCCUGGAGAAGCACCCUGUUCUGUUACUCUGAAUGUGGCAGAUGAAAAAGGCGUUCAGUUCAUCUUGCGCGUGGUUGCCAUAAAUGUGUGGACUUUUGUGUUUUAGCUCAUCGUUAGUCCAGAUACAUCACUGACAUCUAUUGAUACUGCAGUGUGUUCAGAGGUUUUGAGUACAGCUGCUUGGUAACUUAUUUAGCUAGAAACUUUCUAUUCAGAACUUACUCUCUGUUCUUGCGAGAAUUGCUAGAAAAUGUUGACUUAAGGAGAUGCUUCUGUGUUUCAUUGCACAAGUAAGUGUGUUCUACUGGGCAGGAUUAUGCAGUGAGGACCACCUCUUAGAGACUGAAGGGCGUAGUAUGGAUUUAAAUGUAGUAAAACAUCCAGGCAGACCUCGGAGGUAUUUUGGGUUUGGUUCCAGACCACCGCAAUAAAGCGGGUCACACAAUUUUUUUCUUUUCCCAGUGCAUAGAAAAGUUAUGUUUACAGCACACUAGUCUAAGUGUGCAAUAGCAUUAGGUCUAAAACAAAAUGUGCAUACCUUAAUUAAAAAAUAAUUUAUUGAUAA